UGUUCAGUGAUAUUUAGAAAUGAAAAACUGAUGUUGUGUUAAUAUUACACACGAUAAUAUUGUGUAAAUAAUCCAGCACCUUGAUUGUUUUCCUGUGUUAUCGUAGCAGGUGGAUAAUUCACUUUAACACUGGUUACCAUGUGCCACAAACUGGAAAAACUACGAUGAGGCAGCAGCAGUAACUAGCUAGCAAGCUACUGCUAGCUACAGCUGUUACUGUUAUGUUGUUACUGCUGCUUUAUCUUCGCAGGUGGCAGUAUUUCACUUUAACGCUGGUUAACACCCACCAUUAAACGAAGGUUAGCCUUAUCUAGCUAGCUGUUACCGCAGCGUUUGGCUACUGCCGAGCAAAAUCAUGUCGAUGAGAUGACGCAUGACGAGGGCGAAACACUGGAAACUGAUAUCAGUCCUGCUGCUAUAUCACAGUGUUGAUCUGACAUCGUGACGCUCCACACCACAAGAGAGUGUUACAUCUCUCUCUCUCUUCUGUUCUUGGUGUCAUUUGAAGCUCCACAGACGAAACGGUACAGCAGGCAGAACUUCACCACCAACCAGGAGCUGAUGUGGAAAAACAAACCAAGUCUGUUGUAUCAUUUUUCUCAGGUCCGAUGGGUGAAACGUCAUCAACCAGACAACAGUUUAAAGCCCCCGCAGCCCCUUUAAAGGCCCCAGUCAACAAGUGUCAGUUCGGGGUCAGCCGGCAGGCCGAGCUGCCUGCGUCCUCCUGUUGCAGGCAGAAUAUUCUGGAGAGACUGGGAUUGAUCGGUGAUUAAAAGAGUGGACCGGAAGGAUUAUUUCAAGCUUAACUAAUAGUUAAAGCGGCUGAAGAUGGGGAGGAGGGGGGCAGAUAAUGUUUGCUGUGUUGGGGCUUAGUCAUUCAGAGGAUGUGAAGCAAGUGAACUCAGCAACUUUACUGUUGGGAUGAAAGCCAUCGAGCUCCGAGUCGACACCGAGUGCAACGCUGGAAUCUCCAGGAAUUCAGAGUCAGUGAAGAGUCAAGGAAGAGUUCAGAUACGUUAGAAGUAUUAUACACGUUUUAAAUAAUGUAACCAAAGUACCCAUAAUGCUGAAAAAUACCCCUGUAAGAGUUUAAUAAUUAGAUUUUGUGUUAUUGUAUCAUUAUUAUUAUGGAUACAAGUGAAUACAUUUACCCAGGUUCUGGGUAAUUACAGGUAAUUUUGAGCUUCUUGUACUUUAUGACAUUUAAAUCUUGUACUUUUUACUCAAAAUAUUAAUUUGACAUCUUUAGUUACAGUUAAUUUGCAGAGUGAAUCCUGCAUCAGAGCUAUGGAGGCCCAGUUAAAAUGUAAUGGUUUGUUCUGAAACAAAUAUGAUGCUUCUCUAUAUUUUGUGUGUGAAAUCUUAGUGUGCAAAGUUACUAGUAACUACGUUUGUCAGAUAAGUGUAGCGGAAUAGAAAGUACAGUAUUUCUGUUCUGUGCUGUAGUGGAGUAAAAGUGUGAAGCAGCAUAAAGUAGAAACACUCAAAUAAAGAACCACUGCAUUUAUUAAAACAAGUUUGAAACUGUUUGUGGCUCCAGAGGAAGCUGCACGUAGUCUGAUAAAUGGCCUUUUUAGAUGACGUUGCAUUGUGGGUAAUGUAGGCAGCAGGUUGUGAACAGCAAGAAGAAUGUGUAGAGUCGAGUCAUAUGUAAAGUGCCAGAGUAACUGUAAUCAGUUAGAUACAGCCAGAGAGCCGUUGCUGCAACAAUCUGCUGCCGGGUGAGUUGUUAAAGAUGUAAUCAUAUCAGCGAGUCACCUUUGUUAUCAUUCCUAAAGAGCGGCACGUUAUCUCAUUGUAUCUGACAGCAAUCAAGAAAUAAAGGUUGGUGUAUUCUACCUGGAGAGGAAGGAAGACAUUUGCAGCAUUUGUUAUUGUGCUGAUAGGAGACAAACUGUGGACAGAAUGCAACACAUGCACAUGCAACCUUUGAAAAAGUCAGAUAUCACUGGGAUGUGUGUAAGAAGAACAAUACAAUGAACAGUACGAUCAGUCGCAGCCGAGCUGUAUUGUUUUAUAACAUCUGUAAAAGGAAUCAGAGUUGUUUCAUCUUCCAGGGGGAGGACUUUAAUUGGACCUUGAAAGCAGCCGCUGGUGUUUCGCUGGCAUCUGCAGCUCUUACAUAGUGAAGA
Acanthopagrus latus (yellowfin seabream) is the source of this 2132-nucleotide long non-coding RNA. RefSeq lists it as uncharacterized. Lineage: Eukaryota; Metazoa; Chordata; Actinopteri; Spariformes; Sparidae. The record is from RefSeq and is a predicted model, not a curated record. The transcript has 3 exons.